GAUGAACGCUGGCGGCGUGCCUAAUACAUGCAAGUAGAACGCUGAAGGAAGGAGCUUGCUCUUUCCGGAUGAGUUGCGAACGGGUGAGUAACGCGUAGGUAACCUGCCUGGUAGUGGGGGAUAACUACUGGAAACGAUAGCUAAUACUGCAUAAUAGUAGAUGUUGCAUGAUAUCUACUAAAAAGGUGCAUUUGCACCACUACCAGAUGGACCUGCGUUUUAUUAGCUAGUUGGUGAGGUAACGGCCCAACAAGGCGACGAUACAUAGCCGACCUGAAAGGGUGGUCGGCCAAACUGGGACUGGGGCACGGCCCAAGCUCCUGCGGGAGGCAGCAGGAGGGGAUCUUCGGCAAUGGACGGAAAUCUGGCCGAGGAACGCCGCGGGGGUGGAGGAGGUUUUCGGGUCGGAAAAGUCUGUUGUGAGGGAAAGACGAGUGUGAGAGUGGAAAGUUCACGUUGUGACGGUAUCUUACCAGAAAGGGACGGCUAACUACGUG
This 497-nucleotide ribosomal RNA is filed under the name uncultured bacterium. Its description in RNAcentral is "partial 16S ribosomal RNA". It matches the Rfam family "Bacterial small subunit ribosomal RNA", at positions 28 to 507 of the family's 1533-position model. The record is from RNAcentral.